GGCCUACGGGGGGCAGCAGUGGGGAAUAUUGGGCAAUGGGCGCAAGCCUGACCCAGCAACGCCGCGUGAAGGAAGAAGGCUUUCGGGUUGUAAACUUCUUUUCUGAGGGACGAUAGUGACGGUACCUCAGGAAUAAGCCACGGCUAACUACGUGCCAGCAGCCGCGGUAAUACGUAGGUGGCAAGCGUUAUCCGGAUUUACUGGGUGUAAAGGGCGUGUAGGCGGGGACGCAAGUCAGAUGUGAAAACCACGGGCUCAACCUGUGGCCGGCAUUUGAAACUGCGUUUCUUGAGUACU
Molecule: ribosomal RNA, 297 nt
Filed under: uncultured bacterium
Lineage: Bacteria
Description: partial 16S ribosomal RNA
Rfam family: Bacterial small subunit ribosomal RNA
Source: RNAcentral